This 66-nucleotide transfer RNA is filed under the name Marmota monax (woodchuck). Its description in RNAcentral is "tRNA.Ala". Lineage: Eukaryota; Metazoa; Chordata; Mammalia; Rodentia; Sciuridae. The record is from RNAcentral.
GGUGCGGCUCAGUGGUAAUGCACUUGCCCAGCAUGCAUAAGGCCCUGGGUUCCAUCCCCAGCACCA